GAUGUAAAUUAAGUUUACAUCCUAAACUUUAUGCAAGUCUUAUAAUUUUUUUUUCUUCACUAAAAAUAAAAAAAAUUAUAAUUCUGUUUUUUUUUAAGAGAGAUAGGUAGCACGCUACCUGCUUCGUUUAUUUCAUUUAGAAAUAAACUUAGCUGGAAAUGUGAAUCAACCAGAAUUCGAACUUGAGACUUCGGAUACCAACCACCAAGUCCUUUGCCACUUGCUCUAGGGACGGUCAGUUAAAAAAAAAAAAUUAUAAUUCCUAGGAUCUAAGAGGGUAAGAAGUACACCCCUAAUUAAAUGGGGUAUAUACAACAAUUUUUUUUUCAAAAAAUAAAAGCAUUGUUAUCUGUACACUUCUAAAGGAGUGUAUGUAUAUUACAAAGAAUUAGUUCUUAUUUUCUCUUUUUUUUUAACACUAAGGGCGUGUGUUGUUCGAAGUCGGAAUUGGAAUUAGAAUCGGAAUUGGAAUGACUCAUUAUCUAAUUCUGUUUGAUUCAUCACCUAAAUCAGAAUCGGAAUAAAUCAUUUAUAUUGUUGGUGUUUGGUUCAGGUAAAUUUAAAAAACGUAAUCAGAUUAAUAUAUUAACUUUAUCUUUAUAAUAAAUUAAUUUAAAUUCAAAUUAAAAAUUAAAUAUUAAAAAUUUACAUCAGAAUUUUAAAAUGAUGUCAAAAUUUUAAAUCUAUUUUUUUAAAAAAAUUGAAUAAAACUUUAUAUAAAUUAAAAUUUUAAUUUAAAUUCAAAUUAAUAAGUUAGAUUCGAAAUACUUGAUUAAAUUUUAAUUUUUAAUUCAAGUUCAAAUUAAAAAUUAAAAAUUUAAUUUCUAAAUUUAAGCUCAUAUUUUAAUUUAAAAAAUUAAAAAAAUAAAUUUAAUCCGAUUAAAUAUCCAUUCCGUCCGGAUUCAACUUCCAAUCCGGCUUCCUAGGCCGGAUUGAAAAAGAGGUGAUUGGGAGAUUCCCAUUCCACUCAGGAAGGUAUAGGAUAUACACAUCCUCUUUUGUGGUCUACAGAUAAUAGUUAUAAAAAAAGAGAACAAUUUGAAACAUAAUCUUUUGAAAAUUUAAAAUAAAUAUCACAAAUACUUUCUCAAAAUCUAAUAUAUCAUUCAUAUUCUUCUAAAUAUGGAAAUUUAUCAUUCAUGCCGCUCUAAAUACAUAAAUAUGUCACAAUUCACAAAUGCCUCUAAACCCCAAACUCAAAGCCUAAAUUUUAAAUCCUAAAUC
Molecule: long non-coding RNA, 1224 nt
Filed under: Ananas comosus (pineapple)
Lineage: Eukaryota; Viridiplantae; Streptophyta; Magnoliopsida; Poales; Bromeliaceae
Description: long non-coding RNA (ACOM_LNC021988)
Source: RNAcentral